This 302-nucleotide long non-coding RNA is filed under the name Lathyrus oleraceus (garden pea). RNAcentral describes it as "Pisum sativum (pea) long non-coding RNA (PSAT_LNC029255)". Lineage: Eukaryota; Viridiplantae; Streptophyta; Magnoliopsida; Fabales; Fabaceae. The record is from RNAcentral.
UUUCGACUCGUAAAUUGUAUCUAACUACUUUUACUUUCGUAGCAAGCAUUUUCUUUUCAAAAAAAAAUAUUAUAAAACAACAUUUUAAUUCUCGUUACAAUUAAAUAUCUAAGCAAUUCACAUAAAUCCAAUCGGUAAAAUAUUACUCAUGUUUCAGACUCUAAAAUAGAUUACUCAUACAUGGUAAAUAAGCAGACAAAACAUGCAUAUGAUGAAUUCAUGAUAAAAAAACAUUAAAGAAUUAAUCUUGGAAAUAAUGGAAAUUGACUCUGAAAUUAAACAUGCUUUGAAGGGAGACUUUG